This 326-nucleotide ribosomal RNA is filed under the name uncultured bacterium. RNAcentral describes it as "bacterial SSU rRNA". It matches the Rfam family "Bacterial small subunit ribosomal RNA", at positions 28 to 334 of the family's 1533-position model. The record is from RNAcentral.
GAUGAACGCUGGCGGCGUGCUUAACACAUGCAAGUCGAACGAAGCAGUUGAAUGGAAUUCUUCGGAAGGAAGCUCAAGUGACUGAGUGGCGGACGGGUGAGGUAACGCGUGGGUAACCUGCCUCAUACAGGGGGAUAACAGUUAGAAAUGACUGCUAAUACCGCAUAAGCACACGUGAUCGCAUGAUCGAGUGUGAAAAACUCCGGUGGUAUGAGAUGGACCCGCGUCUGAUUAGCUAGUUGGUGGGGUAAUGGCCCACCAAGGCGACGAUCAGUAGCCGGCCUGAGAGGGUGAACGGCCACAUUGGGACUGAGACACGGGCCCAA